Molecule: long non-coding RNA, 601 nt
Filed under: Homo sapiens (human)
Lineage: Eukaryota; Metazoa; Chordata; Mammalia; Primates; Hominidae
Description: non-protein coding lnc-GTF2A1-78:1
Source: RNAcentral
AGGUCUCAGCUGGGCACUCCUGAGCUCUGUGCUGCAACCUUGGGGCAUUGGGCUCUGUCUUUCGGCCCCUCGGGGUCAGACCCCUGCUGUGUUGGGGGAUCCGAAGUGCUCCCAAGCUGCCUGGAAAGCAUUCAGGCGGGGUCGCUAGCAAGAACUCAGGCUGGGCAGCGGAGGCGGCACAGUGCACACACUCCUGCAGGAACAACCAGACAGGGGCUUUGGGAGGGGCUGCGUGCAGGGGGUCCCGCAGAACAUAUGCGCCCCAGUCCCGCAGGAAGGACCGCCCUGCUCUCUCUUGGCUCACUGGUGGGGACAGCACUUCCUGGAAUAACGUUGCUUUGGAUUUAACAACAGUUGGGCAAAGGAGGUCGGUAUACAGAUACAGGACAAGAAGAGUGGUGUCAAAGGGAGGCUAAAUCAUUGGUUCUGGCUUCAUCUAAGGAAUUCUUAUGAGAAAUCGAGGGAGAGACUGUCCUGGGAAGUCUGAUGAAACAUGCAUGAGUCUUCGUUGAAACCGUGGGAGGAAGAAGAGUUUUACCAAUCACCAGUGCUGAAGAAAUCUCUCCUUUCUGGGCAGGAUGAGGGAAUCACUAAAUGACGA